Molecule: ribosomal RNA, 253 nt
Filed under: uncultured bacterium
Lineage: Bacteria
Description: partial 16S ribosomal RNA
Rfam family: Bacterial small subunit ribosomal RNA
Source: RNAcentral
UACGUAGGGUGCGAGCGUUAAUCGGAAUUACUGGGCGUAAAGCGUGCGCAGGCGGUUCGUGAUGUCUGGUGUGAAAGCCCCGGGCUUAACCUGGGAAUUGCAUUUGAGACUGCAUAGCUAGGGUGCGGAAGAGGGAAGCGGAAUUUCCGGUGUAGCGGUGAAAUGCGUAGAUAUCGGAAGGAACACCAGUGGCGAAAGCGGCUUCCUGGUCCAGCACCGACGUUCAGGCACGAAAGCGUGGGGAGCAAACAGG